Molecule: ribosomal RNA, 110 nt
Filed under: uncultured bacterium
Lineage: Bacteria
Description: partial 16S ribosomal RNA
Source: RNAcentral
UGAAGAAGGCCUUCGGGUUGUAAAGCUCUUUCGGCCGGGACGAAAUCGCUCUCGUUAACACCGGGGGUGGAUGACGGUACCGGAAGAAGAAGGACCGGCUAACUACGUGC